This 253-nucleotide ribosomal RNA is filed under the name uncultured bacterium. RNAcentral's name for it is "partial 16S ribosomal RNA". It matches the Rfam family "Bacterial small subunit ribosomal RNA", at positions 524 to 776 of the family's 1533-position model. The record is from RNAcentral.
UACGGGGGGGGCAAGCGUUGUUCGGAAUUACUGGGCGUAAAGCGUGCGCAGGCGGUUCGUUAUGUCCGAUGUGAAAGCCCCGAGCUUAACUUGGGAAUGGCAUUGGAAACUGGCGGGCUGGAGUGCGGCAGAGGGGGGUGGAAUUCCACGUGUAGCAGUGAAAUGCGUAGAGAUGUGGAGGAACACCGAUGGCGAAGGCAGCCCCCUGGGCCGACACUGACGCUCAGGCACGAAAGCGUGGGGAGCAAACAGG